GAGAAGGAAGGGGGGAAAGCCUUCCCAGUUUAGUGUUCUCAGAGUAUGAGAUCAUGGCACACGGCAGCCAAAAUGAGUCCAGCUUCUGAGAGGAUUACUGGACAUGAUGACAAGUUCAGGAAACAAGAGGAGGAGAUGGGGACAGAUCUACAAGGAGUGGGAGGACAGAAACCCCUGAAAACCAAACAGCUUAAAUUGGAAACAGAACUGGGGAAAUGAGAUAGAGAGAAGAUGCAUCCUGGACGGGCCCGGGGGGCUCCUUCACCCUUCCUUCGUGGACUGCGGAAGAAACCCUGGGUUCUGUCUGGCUGGGGCUGGAACGGUCUUUCGGAUGAAGUGGGCGGCAUUCGCUGUGCCCCUUCCCCAACCCAGAACUUUGAUGUAUUCUCAGCACGCAAACCAUCCACUUGCGCCAGUGCGACUGAGAGGAAAGGAAAACACUCCUGACAAACUCAGGGGCUUUGGGAGAUGUGCUCUAGCCACCAGAGUGGAGACUGGGCCCCCGUGACACUGUGCCAUUUCUGUAAGAAGGGGGCCCUUGUCCUUCUAGGGCCCCACCUCCUUGACCCCCUCUUCUCCCUCCUGUAUGUUAUCAUCUUUGCUGAAACAACUUCUUCUACAAUUAAUAUUUUCGAAAUCACCCUUGCUUUCAGCAAACCCCUUCCUGAAAAGAACAGUUGGGAUAGCUCAAAGAUACAAUAAACCUCUGGGCAUGUACAGAGUGCUUUCUUGCUCAGCUUGGCAUCAGCACCAGCCUGUUUGAAGAGGUCAGAGAAACGGAGGAAAAAACUUGGCUCUCCUUUAAUGGCAGUCUGAUGACACACCAAAAACUUGGAAAAACAUAAUAGCGAAUCUUGCACUGCCGUGAAAUGCAGCAGCUUCCCUCAACUGCUGUUCUCCAGAUGUUCUGGAGUACAAAUCCCAUCGGCCACAGUCAGGAUGGAGCUAAGAGAGGUCUGACUCCAAUGCACCUGGAGGGCACCAGGUUGGGGAAGGUUCAAAUAUACCAUCCGUGACUAUGCUGGGCUGCUUUUCAUGGCUGCAUAGUCCUAGUUCUUGCAAAACCAGCAUACAGAAAACGUUGCAAAAUGUGGCUUCAGGAAUCUAACCCUUUGUAUUGCAUGCUUUAUGGAUUUAUUGACCCUUGUGAAUUAACCGGGGGGGGGGGGCGGUUAUAGCACCUGUUCCUAUAAAGGGUUUUUUGAAGAAUCACACCUUCCCCCCCUUUUGCAAUGCAGCUGCUUGUGGGACUUUCGGUGGCCAUUUGCUGGCUGCAGUGAAAACAACUGUUCUCUGUGCACAAUGGUAGAAUUGACACACAGACUAGGGGGCAGGGGGGCGCCUGGUCCUCCUUCAGCAACCCCAAUAAAGUGCAUUAGUGCUGACCCCAACCCAAUUCUUUGCUCCUCCAUCUGAAAAGUUUUAAAGCUUUUGAAGGCAUUAGUUCUCCCCCACACACACACACAAGUUGGCACAGAACAGCACCUCUAUCAAGCCCAUUUUACAGACGAGGAAACUGAGUCUCAGAUCAUGGGAAUAAAACAAUGGGCCGGGGAGAGGGAACCUUUGCUUCCCCCUCUCCUGUAAUGACUGAGUAGCAACCGUCCCAGGAGACACGGGAAAUAAUUAAAUAAUUAAGAUGACCUCAGCGCCCUCGUUAACUUAUGGAACUCAUUGCCACAGGAUGAGGAAAUCUGCCCGGACCCUGACGCUUUGCUUUCUGGAGGAGGCUGGACAAAUUCCUGGAGACCAAAAGACCACAGAGAUAAACUGAACCGCCGUGUUCAGAGUUAGUCUGUCUCCCAAACAGAAGAUGCCGGACAAACUAGGCAGGGAAUCUGUUGACUAGCUGAUUCCCCGUGGCUCUUGGCUGGCUGCUGACAGAAACUGUAUUCUUUGCUCUGAUCCACAAAGGCAGUUCUUACGAAGCAAGCAAUCUAAGGAAAGAUCAGAGAACUGUAAUCUGCGGUAUCUUAAAAACAAAAGUACAUUGUCCUUCCACAGAAAGCCUCUCUGAGCACAAAGAAAGCCCCAAAGGGCAUGUCAAAACAUCAGGGGACGAAAUGGGGAAAUAAAAUUGUCAGUGCCAGUAAGUUAAACAAAAAACAAAAAAGAAGAAGGAGGAAAAGAACCACACGCAAUUAAAGAGAAGUACCACAGAUCAGUUUCAAAACUUGAAGGUGAAUCAUAGAAAUCCAACACGACAUAAAUAAAGCCUAGUAGCUCGGCGCUCCUGGGGUCCUGCUUCCAGGCUCCCCGGCCCUUCCUGAGAAGAGUGGCACCCAUGUGCCACCAACUCGAGUGGGUCUCCUGCCAGUGUUGAAUGAGGGUUCAGUAGGGAUACUAAACCACUCACAAGGAAGUGAAGCACAGAGACUCUGGAAGAACAAUUUUCACCCACGUUCACCCUGUAUGUCCAUACCUUGGGAACCCCACAUUGCCAGGGGGUGCUGAAUUUCCUGUACAGAGGUAGGUAAAUAAUGGGAUUCUACAGAAACACAAAAACUGAAGUGGCACAGUUUUGACAGCUGCCAAGAAAUCUCAGCUUUUGCUUCUUCCUUUUUUUUUCCUUUUCAAGCAAGGAAAGCAAGUUUCUAGUCCCUAAGAUUGAAGCAAUAUCAACAAAAGCACAGAGACGAGGCUUCUGCUAACUCAGGGAAAUGGCUAAUACUUCCAGUAACUGGGGAGGAGCUUCAGAAACAUUGUUCCUCCUAUGCAUAAGAAAUUAUAUGGGUAUGGUAAAACAGAAUGAAAAGGGCAGGGUCAGUUAAGCAGAUGCGAAAAGCACUCUCCAGGUGCAUAAUUUAUGUAGGCUGUAGAAUGCAGUUAUUCACAAAGCUGAAUAUGAAAUACCCAGGCACAAAACUUGGGGGGAAAGCACACAAAGGCAGAGCAGUGCGGUGAGCAGUGUAGUAUAGUGGUUGGAGUGCUGAGCUUCUGGUUCUAGUGCCCCUUCAGCCUUGACUCUCAGCCUUGACUGAGCUUGGCUUACCUUUCAGGGUUGUUGUGAGGCUAAAAUGGGAAGGAGGUGCCUGUAAGUUGUCUCGAGGUCCUUGCAAGAGGAAAAAAAGUGGGAUGGAAGCUUAAAAGAAUAAAAACAGCCUGACUAUCCCUGGGUCGCCAGAAAAUUCCAGCGUGGCACACAGAGAACGCAUCACCCCAAGAAAGCAGGAAAGGGACGGCCUAGACAAGAAAGGCAGAGUUCGUGGACGUGUGAGCCGGGGAAAUUUCAUUAAGCCCCUGCUUCAUCUCGACUUCAUUCUGAACUGCAACAGAAGGGCUCUGCUGGCUUUUCUGAAUUCCCUGGCUUCCCGUCAAGGCUGCCUUUGCCAACAAUGACUGUAUGUGCUUGUAUUUCACAGCGAUUGCAAUCUCCCUUUUUCUUUCUCACAGAAGCGCCCAGCAUUCUUUCGGCGGGCUCCCCGGGCAGGCAGGGCAGAG
Molecule: long non-coding RNA, 3441 nt
Organism: Varanus komodoensis (Komodo dragon)
Lineage: Eukaryota; Metazoa; Chordata; Lepidosauria; Squamata; Varanidae
Exons: 2
Source: RefSeq, a predicted model, not a curated record